Molecule: ribosomal RNA, 467 nt
Filed under: uncultured bacterium
Lineage: Bacteria
Description: partial 16S ribosomal RNA
Rfam family: Bacterial small subunit ribosomal RNA
Source: RNAcentral
GACGAACGCUGGCGGCGUGCUUAACACAUGCAAGUCGAACGGAAAGGCCCUGCUUUUGUGGGGUGCUCGAGUGGCGAACGGGUGAGUAACACGUGAGUAACCUGCCCUUGACUUUGGGAUAACUUCAGGAAACUGGGGCUAAUACCGGAUAGGAGCUCCUGCUGCAUGGUGGGGGUUGGAAAGUUUCGGCGGUUGGGGAUGGACUCGCGGCUUAUCAGCUUGUUGGUGGGGUAGUGGCUUACCAAGGCUUUGACGGGUAGCCGGCCUGAGAGGGUGACCGGCAACAUUGGGACUGAGAUACGGCCCAGACUCAUACGGGAGGCAGCAGUGGGGAAUAUUGCACAAUGGGCGGAAGCCUGAUGCAGCAACGCCGCGUGCGGGAUGACGGCCUUCGGGUGGUAAACCGCUUUCGCCUGUGACGAAGCGUGAGUGACGGGAAUGGGUAAAGAAGCACCGGCUAACUACGU